CUUUCUGCNGGGACNAAACUGACGGUACCUGCANAAGAAGCCCCGGCUAACUACGUGCCAGCAGCCGCGGUGAGACGUAGGGGGCAAGCGUUGUCCGGAUUUAUUGGGCGUAAAGAGCUCGUAGGCGGCUUGGCAAGUCGGAUGUGAAAUCUCCAGGCUUAACCUGGAGUCGCCAUCCGAUACUGCUAUGGCUAGAGUCCGGUAGAGGAUCGUGGAAUUCCUGGUGUAGCGGUGAAAUGCGCAGAUAUCAGGAGGAACACCAACGGCGAAGGCAGCGAUCUGGGCCGGUACUGACGCUGAGGAGCGAAAGCGUGGGGAGCGAACAGGAUUAGAUACCCUGGUAGUCCACGCCCUAAACGUUGGGCACUAGGUGUGGGGCCUAUUUCGACGGGUUCCGUGCCGUAGCUAACGCAUUAAGUG
RNAcentral lists this ribosomal RNA (420 nucleotides) under uncultured Ferrimicrobium sp. RNAcentral describes it as "bacterial SSU rRNA". It matches the Rfam family "Bacterial small subunit ribosomal RNA", at positions 433 to 866 of the family's 1533-position model. Lineage: Bacteria; Bacillati; Actinomycetota; Acidimicrobiia; Acidimicrobiales; Acidimicrobiaceae. The record is from RNAcentral.